GCCGGGGUGGUGAAACUGGCAGACACAGGGGACUUAAAAUCCCCUGGCCGGCAACGGCCGUGCGGGUUCGAGCCCCGCCCCCGGCA
Molecule: transfer RNA, 86 nt
Filed under: Binatia bacterium
Lineage: Bacteria; Candidatus Binatota; Binatia (SeqCode)
Description: tRNA-Leu
Rfam family: tRNA
About the family: Transfer RNA (tRNA) molecules are approximately 80 nucleotides in length. Their secondary structure includes four short double-helical elements and three loops (D, anti-codon, and T loops).
Source: RNAcentral